AGAGUUUGAUCAUGGCUCAGAUUGAACGCUGGCGGCAUGCCUUACACAUGCAAGUCGAACGGCAGCACGGGGGCAACCCUGGUGGCGAGUGGCGAACGGGUGAGUAAUACAUCGGAACGUGUCCUGUAGUGGGGGAUAGCCCGGCGAAAGCCGGAUUAAUACCGCAUACGCUCUACGGAGGAAAGGGGGGGAUCUUAGGACCUCCCGCUACAGGGGCGGCCGAUGGCAGAUUAGCUAGUUGGUGGGGUAAAGGCCUACCAAGGCGACGAUCUGUAGCUGGUCUGAGAGGACGACCAGCCACACUGGGACUGAGACACGGCCCAGACUCCUACGGGAGGCAGCAGUGGGGAAUUUUGGACAAUGGGGGCAACCCUGAUCCAGCAAUGCCGCGUGUGUGAAGAAGGCCUUCGGGUUGUAAAGCACUUUUGUCCGGAAAGAAAACGCCGUGGUUAAUACCCGGGCGGAUGACGGACCGAA
Molecule: ribosomal RNA, 477 nt
Filed under: uncultured organism
Description: bacterial SSU rRNA
Rfam family: Bacterial small subunit ribosomal RNA
Source: RNAcentral